UGUUUCGGCUAGGGGGUCAUCCCGACUUACCAACCCGAUGCAAACUACGAAUACCGAAGAAUGUUAUCACGGGAGACACACGGCGGGUGCUAACGUCCGUCGUGAAGAGGGAAACAACCCAGACCGCCAGCUAAGGUCCCAAAGUCAUGGUUAAGUGGGAAACGAUGUGGGAAGGCACAGACAGCCAGGAUGUUGGCUUAGAAGCAGCCAUCAUUUAAAGAAAGCGUAAUAGCUCACUGGUCGAGUCGGCCUGCGCGGAAGAUGUAACGGGGCUAAACCAUGCACCGAAGCUGCGGCAGCGACACUAUGUGUUGUUGGGUAGGGGAGCGUUCUGUAAGCCUGCGAAGGUGUGCUGUGAGGCAUGCUGGAGGUAUCAGAAGUGCGAAUGCUGACAUAAGUAACGAUAAAGCGGGUGAAAAGCCCGCUCGCCGGAAGACCAAGGGUUCCUGUCCAACGUUAAUCGGGGCAGGGUGAGUCGACCCCUAAGGCGAGGCCGAAAGGCGUAGUCGAUGGGAAACAGGUUAAUAUUCCUGUACUUGGUGUUACUGCGAAGGGGGGACGGAGAAGGCUAUGUUAGCCGGGCGACGGUUGUCCCGGUUUAAGCAUGUAGGCUGGUUAUCCAGGCAAAUCCGGAUAACCAAGGCUGAGGUGUGAUGACGAGGCACUACGGUGCUGAAGUAACAAAUGCCCUGCUUCCAGGAAAAGCCUCUAAGCAUCAGGUAACAUCAAAUCGUACCCCAAACCGACACAGGUGGUCAGGUAGAGAAUACCAAGGCGCUUGAGAGAACUCGGGUGAAGGAACUAGGCAAAAUGGUGCCGUAACUUCGGGAGAAGGCACGCUGGUGUGUAGGUGAAGCCCCUGCGGGUGGAGCUGAGACCAGUCGAAGAUACCAGCUGGCUGCAACUGUUUAUUAAAAACACAGCACUGUGCAAACACGAAAGUGGACGUAUACGGUGUGACGCCUGCCCGGUGCCGGAAGGUUAAUUGAUGGGGUUAUCCGUAAGGAGAAGCUCUUGAUCGAAGCCCCGGUAAACGGCGGCCGUAACUAUAACGGUCCUAAGGUAGCGAAAUUCCUUGUCGGGUAAGUUCCGACCUGCACGAAUGGCGUAAUGAUGGCCAGGCUGUCUCCACCCGAGACUCAGUGAAAUUGAACUCGCUGUGAAGAUGCAGUGUACCCGCGGCAAGACGGAAAGACCCCGUGAACCUUUACUAUAGCUUGACACUGAACAUUGAGCCUUGAUGUGUAGGAUAGGUGGGAGGCUUUGAAGCGUGGACGCCAGUCUGCGUGGAGCCAACCUUGAAAUACCACCCUUUAAUGUUUGAUGUUCUAACGUUGGCCCCUUACCGGGGUUGCGGACAGUGUCUGGUGGGUAGUUUGACUGGGGCGGUCUCCUCCCAAAGCGUAACGGAGGAGCACGAAGGUUAGCUAAUCCUGGUCGGACAUCAGGAGGUUAGUGCAAUGGCAUAAGCUAGCUUGACUGCGAGCGUGACGGCGCGAGCAGGUGCGAAAGCAGGUCAUAGUGAUCCGGUGGUUCUGAAUGGAAGGGCCAUCGCUCAACGGAUAAAAGGUACUCCGGGGAUAACAGGCUGAUACCGCCCAAGAGUUCAUAUCGACGGCGGUGUUUGGCACCUCGAUGUCGGCUCAUCACAUCCUGGGGCUGAAGUAGGUCCCAAGGGUAUGGCUGUUCGCCAUUUAAAGUGGUACGCGAGCUGGGUUUAGAACGUCGUGAGACAGUUCGGUCCCUAUCUGCCGUGGGCGCUGGAGAAUUGAGGGGGGCUGCUCCUAGUACGAGAGGACCGGAGUGGACGCAUCACUGGUGUUCGGGUUGUCAUGCCAAUGGCACUGCCCGGUAGCUAAAUGCGGAAGAGAUAAGUGCUGAAAGCAUCUAA
This 1891-nucleotide ribosomal RNA is filed under the name Klebsiella pneumoniae. RNAcentral describes it as "partial 23S ribosomal RNA". It matches the Rfam family "Bacterial large subunit ribosomal RNA", at positions 911 to 2784 of the family's 2925-position model. Lineage: Bacteria; Pseudomonadati; Pseudomonadota; Gammaproteobacteria; Enterobacterales; Enterobacteriaceae. The record is from RNAcentral.